Long non-coding RNA from Dicentrarchus labrax (European seabass), 3535 nucleotides. RefSeq lists it as uncharacterized. The record is from RefSeq and is a predicted model, not a curated record. NCBI's taxonomy places the organism in Eukaryota, Metazoa, Chordata, Actinopteri, Moronidae. The transcript has 2 exons.
GCGCAGCCAUGUUUCAUGUGUCUUACACAGACACUGGAAGGACGUCCGCACACGUGCCUGCUCAACCACUGCAACGCGAGAGCACAGACCGAGCGCGAGACUUCUUUCAGUACGCGUUGUGCACCGUCUCGUGUGUGUCGAUGCUGUGAACGGGUCUGUAGGUUUUGCGGUACACACUAUAAACAAUUAGAAACAGUAGCUCCACUUUGACCUCCUCCACACACUUUUCUCUGUUGCCAUGGAGAAUGAAAACUGAGUGAUGACAUCUCUACGUCACCCUUUAAAACCCCCCGUGGUGUGGUUCUGAGAGCCCAAAGAAAGUGAGCAAACCUGAGACUGACUGUGUAUCGGUGUACCACCCGCCUCCAUCUGUCUAACCUCCGGCCCCGCCUCUCUCCAUCCCCACGAGAGGGAGCAGCGGAUUAAGAAAAGGGGAGGAAUGGAGGAAGGAGCAAGGGAGCGAAAGAGAGAAGUGUGUCUGUGUCCCAAAGGAUUGGUCUCUGUCUGUCUAAAUCAGGAAGUGAGAAUGUGACGGCAGGAGAGGCAAAGCAGAGACAUCCAUUCAGUGUGUGUGUUUGUGUGUGUGUGUGUGUGUUGAGUGUUUGUGUGUUCGUAUGGACCUUGUUGAGCUGAGGUGUCAUAUAUGUGAAGAUCACAGCUUCAAGCUAGUGGCAACCAGGGAUGACGCUCUAAAUCACUGAAAUGCCAGAGACAACUGUGCUGUGAUAUGUUCUGUGAAUGUGCGCAUGGAUGUGUGUGUGUGUGUGUGUGUGUGUGUGUGUGUGUGUGUGUGUCUUUUGGGACAUUUGAUGGAGAUUAAUACCACUUUUAGAGUCUGAAAGUGAAAAUGUUAUCUAGUAUGUCACCUUGGAAAAAAAGAGAGUGACAUUGUCUCAUCUGGACGCUGAUGUACACACACACACUCACUCUCACACACACACACACACACACACACACACACACACACACUGUACAUCACAACUUUUUUUGUCUGACAUACCCCCACAGCCCUGUCAGUUGAACUCAAGUACAUCCCUUUUAAACUGGAUUUUAUAUACAUUAACAUUUUUAUUUAAAGUAAUAUUGUUUUCAUACAAUUUAACUAAUGUUUGGUCAGUUUGGUCAAUUGCAUUUGAACUACUACUACUACCAUUUGGAGUGACAGAGCGGGACUUUUCAACCAUUUAUCCAUGAGUUUUAGUUUUAUUUCAACCUUUUCAUACAUUUAUCUGAUAUAUUUAAUGCCAACUAUUUCUAUUUAUGCUUUACUCUUAGCUAACUCAAUUAAUGUAGUCAUUUUCUUUCUUGUGUUUCAGUUUGAUUCAACUAUUUAACCAUCUAUACAUUACUUGUUGCUACUGUAUCUAUUUCAGUCAUUUAUCUAUUACUUUACUUUCGCCACAGGUGGCAUACAUAUGUUUAUUUCUAUGUUUUAAAAUUAGCUGAGCUACUCUAUACAACUUUUUCACGUAUACCCUGGUAACUGCAGUUCCCCCUGGGGUACCCCUGGUUGGGAACCACUGAUCUGGAUUAUGCAUCAUGCACAGUAUCCACGGAAUAUGUACCCACACAAACACACCUAAUGACAUUACACACUCUCUCUCUCUGGGGACAAAUAAUCAGAUGGACACAGGGACAUCUCUCUGUUCCCCCUCACACAUAAAGCUACGUGAAUGUAGGCCAACUUACUGUCGGCUUCACUUCCCUCUCAGCGCAGUCAAAACAACACACUAGCUGUUGUCUCCUCUUGUUUAUCAACCUCUAUCUCUUGUUACCUCUAUCUAUCUUUAACCCUCUCUUUCAUGAGUUGUGAGUCACAGAGAAUUGUCUAGUAGAUCAACAAAACAACUGUUACAGUCUCACACAGUGACGCUGAUAUAGUCACAUCAUUAUAUCCGUAUUAGCAGGGAAAACCCUUCACGCUCCAACACCUAUAUGCCUUCAUCGCAUGCUAUCUGCACUGUCUGAUGUGUCUUCUAAGUAAUUUACUGUGUGUGUGUGUGUGUGUGUGUGUGUGUGAGUACCCCUGCCUUAUUCUACUGUAGGCUGACGGAUGAAGCUCGACACAUAUUCAUGGCAUGUUUAGCAAAAUAUGUUUAUCAGAAUGUAUACCCAAACUACUAACUAGAGGUAGAGAGCCUGUCCACAUGAUAGGCUAUACUGUAAAUAAAGUUGCUACUUUCAUACAACAAAAUAGUGAUUUAAACUCCAAAGCCUUUCUAGCAACUCUCCGAGACAAUUUAAGCUUAAGCUAACUGCUAGUGUUUAACAGAUUCACCAUUAGUUUAGCACGUCAAUAUUGGUAACAUUAGCACUAACUCCUUUUUCGGCUGAUGGGAAUGUCGUUUGUUUUGGCCAUAAGCACAAAUUGACCUGAUGGUGAUAAUAUGAAAGGUUAAGGGAUCUCAAAAGUUAUUAAAAUUCAUCCUGAGAGAAAUAUGAAGGUAUAAACCACAUUUUAUGGCAACCCAUAAAGACGUGCCACUAACAGAUAGGAGUAUUGGACACAGUGUGAUCCAUAUGGAAUCCAUAUCCAAGUCAUUGUCUCUGAAUUUAGACUAUGUAUUGUUGAUACUGCAUUUGUGUUACAGAUCUGCUUUCUGUCAUCAUGCUGCCUCCCUAAUCCCCUAAGUUGAUUUAUUUAAAGAUAUUCUUUUUUUAAUAGUGGGAAGCAAUUGUAAGCAACAUGGUGAUCAUGAACCCAAACUUGAACCAGGUGAAAACAUGAAACAAUCUAUUACUCUAAUAAGCAAACCUGCAUGUUGCCUGACUUGUGUAAUAGAGCCUCAUUUGUAUCAUUGUUAUAUUUAUUAAUAUUAUUUUUUGUCAAAUGUCGCAUAAUAAUGUGAAACCUUUGAAUACUGAUAAUAAAUACAGGUGAAAUUAAUAUUAUCAGUUCACAGCAUCAGGAGGAAUAAUUGGUAAGAAAAGAGCAUACACACAAAUUUACACACUUGCAUGUUGCAUGUUUACCUUAUAGGCAAGGUAAGGCAACACUAUAGAGGAAGUAUUUCAAAUAUUGAGAAGGACCAGGGGAGCACUUGGCAUUUUGGGCAUGCACAUAAUCACACACUCUUACUGCGUUAGCGUUAGAUGGAAAAGGUUGUGUGUUAGUGUGUUUGACAGCUCUCCGACCCUGGUUGCGAUGUUGACAUUAGUUGACCAGGACACAUCACCUCUGCUUUAGGAAAAGGCCUACGGUGAGCCUGCCCUCAAGCACAGUGGGAUUCUAUGUAUGUUUGUGUAUGUCUGUGUGUGUCUGUGUGUGUGUGUGUGUGUGUAGUUUUAGUAUAGUCUUUGUUAAAGUAAAAGCACCACAGACAUCUACAAUUUUGCUCUGCUGUUGCCCGAACAGAUUCAUUUAUAGUUCUCCAUGCAUAUGUGUGUGUGUGUGUGUGUUUCUCUGUGUGUGUAAUAAAAGCAUAUGUUGGUAGAAUGGCUCACAUUCACAGUAUCUAAAAAAUAAUAGUGUUUCAUGUAGAUUUUCACAGUUUUCAAUAAAAAAUGUGAAGGCAAAACACAUCUUUCAAACCUU